UAGGAUGUAGUGUAAUUGGUAGCACGAAGGUUUUUGAAUCCUUAGGUUUAGGUUCGAUUCCUAUAGUUCUAG
Loxodonta africana (African savanna elephant) is the source of this 72-nucleotide transfer RNA. It matches the Rfam family "tRNA". Rfam says of the family: Transfer RNA (tRNA) molecules are approximately 80 nucleotides in length. Lineage: Eukaryota; Metazoa; Chordata; Mammalia; Proboscidea; Elephantidae. The record is from Rfam.